Molecule: ribosomal RNA, 738 nt
Filed under: Triticum aestivum (bread wheat)
Lineage: Eukaryota; Viridiplantae; Streptophyta; Magnoliopsida; Poales; Poaceae
Description: partial small subunit ribosomal RNA
Source: RNAcentral
UGUAGAUCCUUCGUCUCAAAUCUGCAAUACUUCCUGCACCUCUUGGGCUCCUUUGAGAACCUCCUCCCUGCUCUCAGGCGCGGCUCAUGCUUUCUCUCGUCCGACCUCGAGACAGUGGUCAAGCCCAAUGUUGCCUUCCUGCGAGAGUGCGGGCUAGGUGACUCUGACAUUGCCAAGUUGUGCAUGGCUCAGCUAAUGCUGCUUGGCUCCAACAUAGAGUGCGUCCGGGCAAUGGCAGCACGCGCCCAAGAUAUUGGUGUGCCCUGUGGCUCUCGGAUGUUCAGGCACGCGCUGAAGGCUGUUGCAUUCCUCAGCAAUGAGAAGAUCGCCGCCAAAGUGGAGCACUUGAAGAAGACAUUUAUGUGGUCAGAUGCUGUGGUCGGCGUUGUUGUCUCCAAGCAUCCAUCUGUGCUGAUGAGGUCUAACCAGAUGCUGCAGAGCAAGUCAGAGUUCCUCAUCUCUGAGGUCGGGCUGGAACCGACAUACAUUGCUCAUCGUCCGGCAUUGCUCACGUACAGCCUGGAAGUCCGACUCAGACCCCGGCACUACGUCGUAAAGUUUCUCAAGGAAAGCGGAUUGCUGGAUCGCGGCCGGGACUAUUAUAGAGCAGUCAUGAUCAGUGAGAAAGCAUUUGUGGAGAAGUUCAUAUGCCCUCACAAGGAAGUUGCACCACACCUUGCUGAAGACUAUGCAGCAGCUUGCAGAGGGGAAGUGCCUUCCAGUUUCAGAUUUACAUAA